CCCGCACAAGCGGUGGAGCAUGUGGUUAAUUCGAAGCAACGCGAAGAACCUUACCAGGCCUUGACAUGCAGAGAACUUUCCAGAGAUGGAUUGGUGCCUUCGGGAGCUCUGACACAGGUGCUGCAUGGCUGUCGUCAGCUCGUGUCGUGAGAUGUUGGGUUAAGUCCCGUAACGAGCGCAACCCUUGUCCUUAAUUGCCAUCAUUCAGUUGGGCACUUUAAUGAGACUGCCGGUGACAAACCGGAGGAAGGUGGGGAUGACGUCAAGUCCUCAUGGCCCUUAUGGGUAGGGCUUCACACGUAAUACAAUGGUCGGUACAGAGGGUUGCCAACCCGCGAGGGGGAGCCAAUCCCAGAAAACCGAUCGUAGUCCGGAUUGUAGUCUGCAACUCGACUGCAUGAAGUCGGAAUCGCUAGUAAUCGCGGAUCAGCAUGUCGCGGUGAAUACGUUCCCGGGCCUU
This 460-nucleotide ribosomal RNA is filed under the name uncultured Pseudomonadaceae bacterium. Its description in RNAcentral is "bacterial SSU rRNA". It matches the Rfam family "Bacterial small subunit ribosomal RNA", at positions 920 to 1382 of the family's 1533-position model. The record is from RNAcentral. Lineage: Bacteria; Pseudomonadati; Pseudomonadota; Gammaproteobacteria; Pseudomonadales; Pseudomonadaceae.